CUCAAAACAAUGACGAAGUGAAACGCAAGAGCGUGAAAAGUGUCCGCUGUUAUUAAGAGCAGCCACGGCCACUUGCCUCCCAUUUGGUGUGGACCUGGGACGGCCAACGCAGUUGGAAGACCAUCAUGGGUGGUGCAUGCUGCCAAAUGAUGCGAGGCCCUGGGAGAUCCAGGUGCUGUGUACCGGAGGAGGGGACGCAGGGCAGGUUGGAUCUGCACAUUCGGAGCCCCGAGGGGCAAGUGGAGUCCACGAAGCGCUCCGGUGAGAUGUCCCGGGAAAAGGGCGUGUGGCCCAGCCCUCGGGAGGAGAGCUGGAGAGGCCCUCAGCGAGGGGGAUGACGAUAAGCUGGAUGUCUUCACCUGCCCGCUCUUGGGGCUGCAGUGAAAACAACCGGGCUUUCAGAAGACUCUGGCAGUCCCUAAGAACCAUAUAAAAAAUACAGGGGUCAGGUCUUGCAUGGUAUUUCAAAAAUUCUGUCUCUGUGGUGGUUUUCACAUAAAGAAACUCGACAUGUCGUUAUAUUUAACUGCACACGUGCAACACAGCCAGAACUGCCUCUCGUAUGAUGACAAAAAACUCAUCUUUGUAAAAAUCUAAAUGGUGGCGGAUUUAAAAUUACUCUUAUGUGGAAGGUGUGAAUUCCCUAGAAUCCUUUCCGUCUUCGUCCAUCGGAUUAGCAUAAGACGGGAAUAUAUGGACAUUAUGCCAACACCGUGUAUGAUGCCAUCACACGUCUGUUGUGAUGCAGCAAUGUCACUAUAACCACAUGUAUAGAACUCUCUUGGAUGAACCGUCUUACUUUAAUUUAUGACGUGGAUCUCAUAAAUAUAAGCGAGGUUUUACUGAUGCAAAUAAAUGUAAGAUAACCCACAGCAGCAGAGCACAUUGUCCCCCAGUGAAUUGUGACUGCCCCUUAAGAAAAGGGGCCAUGAGCAGAAAUUGGUAUGCAUAAGGUGUGGUAGAAGUUUGGUCAAACAAGCUGCCAUGUGAUUUUGGCGCACACAUGUUUAUAUAUAAAUUAAGAAAUCUACUCUUGUCAUCUCGAGGAGGUUUUCCCACUGUAGAAAUACAACACGCAUUUGCGAAAAUGUGCUAAAAAAAGCCUACGAUGUUUUUUCUCCCGUUUUGAUUAUGGCUGUUCCUAUCAUUUACAGAAAGCGUUGGAGUUGAACUUCCAAUUCCAUAAUAUAGGUAUUGUUUUUUGGUUAGAUCCCGUUAAUAUAAAUGUGGCAUUAAACCCGCCCACUGUGGUUGUGCAUCUGUCUCAACGCACAAGAAGAAUUACUGGGGUUUGAGUUUGAUUUAUUUAAGCCCGAUCUCCGCUGGCACUUUUAUUGCUGUGGUUUAAACGCGUAACGGUUAAGCUAAAGUCGGGAUCGGCUUCGGUGGAACCCGGCACGUGGCCUCAAUGCCUGACGUGGCCUCAAGGCCCCGUUGCCUGUGACUUUGCAGAUGGGAAGAGAUGGGCUUAUCUGUAGGAGAGUGACACCGCCUGAAUGGGUUGGAGAUGCCUCUUAUAGAAUUCCUCAUGCUUGUCCUUCUCAUAUUAGUUGCGGUGAACAAAAACCUACACAUUUUUAUGAAACACCUGGAAGCAUGUAAUAAAGCUUAAGAUGUGAUGACAUGCUACUGAUGAUUUCAUGGUUAAAGAAAUCCACGUGGAUGUGAUUUUCAACUGUACACAUGUACAGGGUCAGGCCUAUACAGGUGACGGAAUUUACAGUUUGAAAAGUCGAUAGGACAUAUAUACUGUUGUAGAGCCUGGAUAUAAAUACAUAUUUAUAAGCACAGUUCUGCUAGAAGGAACAUAUCCUUACAUUACACUCGUGGAGAUAUGACUUGGGAUUUUUUUCACAGACGGGUUCCCAAACACACUUAUUGUACUGCAAUAUUUUGCCACUGUGCGACCCAGCUGGCUUGAGAGUUUCACCUGUAAUCCAGCAUCGUAGGCGAGGGUUGAUGGAGUACACAAAUGUCGUGGAGCUCCUUACCGUGGCCGUCGAGUUCGCCAUACCCUGGCUUGCCAGCCUAUGGCAGCAACGCAAGCGGAUUGAUCUCCAUCUAUGUCCAUCUAUACGGAGAGUGUCGCUACCCCGGGCACGCGUGUUUUUUCUAUGACGAUUCCGGACCACAUAGCUCGGGCAAUCAUUGGCAUCGGCUCCCCGCCUCGCUGCCUUCUCACUUAUCUGUCGUUCCUUGUGCCUCCGAGUUCUCUCUCUUCAAGAGAAAAUGAGCACUGUGCACAUGACAAGUCUAAAUGGCACUGUAUUGUCAUCGUGACCAUUGCUUUUGAUGCUACCGCACAUCGCCAACGUUUUCUAUCCUCGGCCAGAGCCUGCAGCUGCUCAACAGUAGACACACGAUCUCCAAAAUCUGCCCUAACAGUAUCCCGCCAUCUGGUCUUAGAUCUUCCCCUUGAGUUGUCAGACCCAUGGACAUCACUCGAAUGCCUGUUAGUCCAUGGGCCCAGACCAAAAAAAUGACUUAUUGGUACCACCUGAGGUGGCAAAGUCUAGUGAUGAUCUUUGUAAUCCUCCACGUGUGUGGGACAUAUUCUGAUAUGAUAACUUUUGCGGAGUGGCAGCUGAGUUGUAGUUACCAUGACUUUUAUACCCAUGCCCUAUGACAGGCGUCCGGAUGAUGAAAUGGGCAUUAUUACUGAAAAACUACCUAGACCAAAGCCAGUUAGGUCACAAACUGGUCUUUAUUGGUUUAAAUACACAAUGAAAACACAGGAUAAUAAGUAAUACUAUAGUGAGGUAAGGAACUACUGUACUUGAAUAUUGUAAACAUUGCCAUUUGCAUAUAAUUAGUCAAUGGUACAUGUUAUCCGAUAUAUAUCGUUAGUGAUGGGUAUAUGUAUACUAUUACUACCACAGUAAUACCAUCAGAAUCACCACCCUGUCACUCAUCAAACUGCUCGUCUAUCUCGUCAUCUGACUCCCCGAGUUCAAAGUCAGAUUCUGGAUCAUCCUGCAGUUUUUGCUUACUGCAGGUCUGUAACCUGCACAUGUCUGUGCAUGUCAGUCCAUUUGACAGGCACGUGCAGCUUGGCAUUUUGCAUGAAUGCACACACUUGCAUGCUAGCAGUUCCAAGACCACAUCUGGUGCGAGUGGGGAGCGCAUCCAGUAAAUGGCCAGCUUGCCAUCAUCGUCUGUCCAUCCACACUCAGCAGGGCUUGGCACCACAGGGUUAGCCUGCAGACAGCACUUCCAGAUUGCUGCCUGAUAAUUGGCUCGUUGAACAUGCAUGAAGAUUGAAGAGACAAUCUCUACAUGGUGGCAGCUGGCUGGACUCAACUUCUCCCCUUUUAGUGCAGAAGAGCUGGUAGCGCAGUUCGUUCAUCUCACCAGUGCUGCUAUUAGCAACGUACAGGCGACAGGUGAACUGCUCAAUUGUCUGGAACAGCUCAUCACUCACAUUCCAUAACUGCCCCAGUCGAAUAAAAGUCUCUUGGCAGGAAGUGUUCUUUCUCACCAUCUUCAAGGCAUUGAGCUUCCCUCGAUCGGCGAAUGCACUGACAGUGCCGCAGCCUGUGAAAGCCUGUAAGACAAUUAGGCUGUCACAGAUGCUGUCUCCAAGUGACCUUGCCAGUUUGCUGAUAUCGACAAACCGUGUGCGGUUCUGUGUCCCGCACUUUUGGUAGAUGGGACAGGUGAUGUCCUUCUGGAAGCCAAGACAAAGCACCAUGACAUCCGUGUCCUCAGCUGUGAUGAUAACUUCCUUUGAGCCCACAUUUGCCGCAUGCAAUGCAUGCAGGAGCAGACGGGUGUCAGCUUCUUCGUGCGUGGAGUGCAGCUCUGCUACCUCCUCACACUCAUCUUCUGUCAACUUGUAGCAGGUUUCCUCACAGCUCAUGUACAACACCUUGCCAUGCAGCAUCUCUCUGUAUCGUGUCAGUUUCCACUCUUCCACCAGAGACUUGAUGAGACUGGCCUUGUUGGAGUGACUGCACAGGAAUUUUCUCCACUGCUGGACGUGGUGUCCCCCUCCAAGGUUAUUGUACUGGAGAGUGGUGUCUGGACCCCGGUUCAGUCGUUCAGCAUCUAGCAUCUUUGAUCGAAGUCUGUCGGUAGACAUAAAAAACAUCAAUACUCUCACUCUGUGCCCCCUCGUGGUGGACCUGGGUCAAGGCUGACUCUGCCACCUGGGCAAAGGUUUUGUUUCGAUGUAAAGCUUUCGUGACUGCAGGGAUUGAUUUUGUGGAGCAGGCUCAUCGCAUCAAUGAUGGAAGUAGAUGGGGUUGGGAUGUCUUCUGCAAGAGACACAUUCUUUUCAAGCUCUCUGGCAAGUGCGGCCUUGUUUGUUUUUCGUAGGGACCCAACAGCAUUUGCCAGUGCCCAUGGCUGUGAGCCCAGUGGGUGGGCAAGGACAUGCCUUCAUAUUCACCUUCCUGCUUUCAGCCACCAGGAUCAUGUGACUGAACAGGUUUAUAUCUGCCUUCAUAACCACAUCCUGUCCUUUCUUUCCACGUGCUGUUUUUGUGCUGAUAUUGGAGAAUGUCUUCAGACUUUGCUUGGUCAUCUUGUCGUGGAAUUUCACAGAUGGUGGGUCCUCAGCUAACCUUGUUUGCUUGAAUACCUAUUAAACCUCUUCUCCUAUCUCAAGAGCUAUCAAGAGAUCCCUGGUCACAUCAGAUGGAGCCAUGGUGCCAAUGGAGAGGCUAACCAGAUCUGUCUCAUCAGGGGACAUAGGAUUGAUCCAGUUAUUCUCCAUAAGGUCAAUGAGAGACUGGACAUCUGCUUCAUCUCUCUUGAUCCUUGGACCCUGUAGAUCUGGAUGGGACAGUUUGGACCUGCCAUGACCUAUCAUGUCUCUCAGCUGUCUGAGGUACAUGCUUCUGUAUUCAGCUGUUAGGUAAUAUUUGGUCACAGCUCCUGGCUUCAAGCUGAAAUCCCUUUGUCCUUCCAGCUGUCUAUGAGUCUUUGUUCACCGUCUCUUCUAUAGCUUGGAUUUGGCCAAAGUGAUUGUUGGAGUCCAGUUGAACUAAGAAGCCUCCUUCCAUGAAUUCCGUGUACACAUCUGGGUGUGUGAUGGGCAGCUGAGACAUCUGGGCGUAGUAGUAUAUUCAGUCAUAUUCAGUCAGUUUUCACCUACACCAUACAGUACAAUCAGAAAUCAUCAUUACUUUCAUACAAACCCUGAAUUAAUCUGUCAGUACUUUGGUUACACAUUGACAGCAGCAGAGAGUUACAACGCAAAAGCAAAACUAACAUUGAUAAAGGGUAAAAUUCAUCUUAACUAAUCUUAACUAAAUUAAGGGGAGGUACUACAGGUGAAUAGGCAAACAAAUUCCUGACCUUGUAUCAGAAUGAAAAAUUACCAGAUGAAUAUACACAAAAAUAUAAGAUUUUUUGUAUUGUGACUUCCCCCGAUUCAUGUAUGCAUAUGCUGUGUUAUCGCAUUAGAUAUGCACAAAUGUGCAUAUUAUGUAAAACACAAUAUUGACUUAGUAGAUGAAGUUAUAACUUUUUGGUUUGUUUUAAUUGUGAUCAAUAACUAAUUGGUUGGUAAACUAUAGAGGCUUUUGUCAAAAUAUCGUUCUUUCAGUUAAUUAUGUUAAAAUACACUUGACACGUUAAAAAACUACAUUUUCAUCAACAUUUUUUAGAUAUAAUACCACAUAAAAUGAAAAUGACAAAAGACAUAAAAAAAUCCCUCAACAUUUCUAGCGAUUACAAGUAGGAAGCAGUAUUUAGAAUUAUGUGUCUUUACCUAGUAUGAAACAUGAGUUGUCAAACUCGGCAUGCAAAAUGUCAUUUUGAGAAAAACGCAAUGCCAGUUCUGGCAUUGUGAUGCCCGUAGCAAUGAUAUUUGAGAGUUCUACUUGUGUGUCCCCCCUCGUAUUGCCAUGACAGCAAAGUAAAUAGCCAUAUAUGGCUGAGCUACACAUCUGCUCCAAAGAAUAAGCUUUUCAAUGAUAUGCAAUUCAACUAGGUUAUUUCUUAAAAUGCGGAGAUAAAUUGCGAUGAAAGAUGCUAAAAAACGCUAAUUUAAGGCUUUGUUUACUUGGCGAAGUUUGUUUAAAAUCGUAAAAACUAACUAUUCAUAAAAUAUGAAUAGUUAUUUUUAUGAUUUGAAUCAUCAGUUAUUACCAACAUCAAAGUUAUUGGUAAUAAAGGUUAUUGGUAAUAAUUGUGUGCAUGUUAUGAAAGUUUACAAUUUAUAGAAGCAAAAUAUAAACAAAUAUAUAAAAAUUGACAAACUGAACAAAAAUCAUUAUAUUUGCCUGUAGGACCUGGCCCUAACUAAUAAACUUAACAGGUACAUUAACAAUACAUUGAAGGUAAAGUUAGCACUUUAGAUAUCUCCUGCCAGUAAAUUAUCAUGAGCAAACAAGCUGCUAGGAAGGAAAUCAGAUGGCGCCAAACUAUCCCAGACUGAACUAAGUCACUGAAAUUGAAGAACAAUCGUGAAUAAAUGCAAGAAUAUGUAUAAAAUACAUGCCUUGGGACAAACAUCCAUUUUGUCAAAUUUGUAUUGUCUUAAUUAACAGCAGAGGUGUUGGAAUGUUUUAUUUGUAACGUCCGGGCAAAUAGGCGUGAUUGCGAUAGAUGCAAAAACAGGUUGCCUGCGAGAAAAAUUCAACAGCUGCUGAUUUGGAAAGGUAAUCAUGUAUUAUUUUACUUGUGUUGGUGUAACA
This is a long non-coding RNA of Lethenteron reissneri (Far Eastern brook lamprey), 6644 nucleotides long. RefSeq lists it as uncharacterized. NCBI's taxonomy places the organism in Eukaryota, Metazoa, Chordata, Hyperoartia, Petromyzontiformes, Petromyzontidae. The record is from RefSeq and is a predicted model, not a curated record.